AUUGAACGCUGGCGGCAGGCCUAACACAUGCAAGUCGAGCGGAUGAAGGGAGCUUGCUCCUGGAUUCAGCGGCGGACGGGUGAGUAAUGCCUAGGAAUCUGCCUGGUAGUGGGGGAUAACGUCCGGAAACGGGCGCUAAUACCGCAUACGUCCUGAGGGAGAAAGUGGGGGAUCUUCGGACCUCACGCUAUCAGAUGAGCCUAGGUCGGAUUAGCUAGUUGGUGGGGUAAAGGCCUACCAAGGCGACGAUCCGUAACUGGUCUGAGAGGAUGAUCAGUCACACUGGAACUGAGACACGGUCCAGAAUCCUACGGGAGGCAGCAGUGGGGAAUAUUGGAAAAUGGGCGAAAGCCUGAUCCAGCCAUGCCGCGUGGGUGAAGAAGGUCUUCGGAUUGUAAAGCACUUUAAGUUGGGAGGAAGGGCAGUAAGUUAAGACCUUGCUGUUUUGACGUUACCAACAGAAUAAGCACCGGCUAACUUCGU
RNAcentral lists this ribosomal RNA (483 nucleotides) under uncultured bacterium. RNAcentral's name for it is "partial 16S ribosomal RNA". It matches the Rfam family "Bacterial small subunit ribosomal RNA", at positions 30 to 506 of the family's 1533-position model. The record is from RNAcentral.